GCCAAUGUUUAUUGCUGAAAGCGUGGCUAUUUGAAAAGGACACCAUCUCAUUCAUUUCUAGUUCUGAAUUUUUAGUUUAGAUAUGGGUGCUUUUGUAGUCUAAAAUGUGGGAAAAGCUAGGAAUUGCAAGCAUUUCUUUGAAAAUGAAAGGAAAUUUAUAUAUAAAAAUCCUAGAAAAUGAAAUUCAAUGUUCAAAAAUGUAAUAGAAUAAUUAUUUCAUGAACAUUUAGGAAGAAGAUAGCCCUCUUCCAAAAUUGAAAAGGAGGAAGAAGCAAGCACCUAUAUGUCAGUAUAUGUGUUUCAGCAAAUCUGACAUCUGGAACCUGUCCGAUCUGCAAUAAAGAAUAUCCGAUGGAAAUCAUUUCAGUGCGUGCCUCCAGUUGUGGAGAGGGGAAAGAGCUGUGUUAAGUUGAACAUGACUCUCCGAGAAAACAUUUCAAAUAUAUUGGAAGAUACAAAAAAACAUGAAAAACCAUGGACUCUUAAAGUUGUGAGAAGGAUGUUUUCAAGUACCGCUAUUGAAAAACUAGAGGAUGGUGAUGAAGAAAUUGGAAGAAACCGAUAAGUAUUCUUUUCAUUGGAGAAGAAG
Saccostrea cuccullata (small rock oyster) is the source of this 589-nucleotide long non-coding RNA. RefSeq lists it as uncharacterized. The record is from RefSeq and is a predicted model, not a curated record. The transcript is spliced from 3 exons. NCBI's taxonomy places the organism in Eukaryota, Metazoa, Mollusca, Bivalvia, Ostreida, Ostreidae.